RNAcentral lists this ribosomal RNA (665 nucleotides) under uncultured bacterium. RNAcentral's name for it is "bacterial SSU rRNA". It matches the Rfam family "Bacterial small subunit ribosomal RNA", at positions 71 to 729 of the family's 1533-position model. The record is from RNAcentral.
CAGGAGAGCUUGCUCUCUGGGUGACGAGCGGCGGACGGGUGAGUAAUGUCUGGGAAACUGCCUGAUGGAGGGGGAUAACUACUGGAAACGGUAGCUAAUACCGCAUAACGUCUUCGGACCAAAGUGGGGGACCUUCGGGCCUCACGCCAUCAGAUGUGCCCAGAUGGGAUUAGCUAGUAGGUGGGGUAAUGGCUCACCUAGGCGACGAUCCCUAGCUGGUCUGAGAGGAUGACCAGCCACACUGGAACUGAGACACGGUCCAGACUCCUACGGGAGGCAGCAGUGGGGAAUAUUGCACAAUGGGCGCAAGCCUGAUGCAGCCAUGCCGCGUGUGUGAAGAAGGCCUUCGGGUUGUAAAGCACUUUCAGCGAGGAGGAAGGGUGGUGUGUUAAUAGCGCAUCACAUUGACGUUACUCGCAGAAGAAGCACCGGCUAACUCCGUGCCAGCAGCCGCGGUAAUACGGAGGGUGCAAGCGUUAAUCGGAAUUACUGGGCGUAAAGCGCACGCAGGCGGUUUGUUAAGUCAGAUGUGAAAUCCCCGCGCUUAACGUGGGAACUGCAUUUGAAACUGGCAAGCUAGAGUCUUGUAGAGGGGGGUAGAAUUCCAGGUGUAGCGGUGAAAUGCGUAGAGAUCUGGAGGAAUACCGGUGGCGAAGGCGGCCCCC